Molecule: ribosomal RNA, 700 nt
Filed under: uncultured bacterium
Lineage: Bacteria
Description: bacterial SSU rRNA
Rfam family: Bacterial small subunit ribosomal RNA
Source: RNAcentral
UUAAGACCNNUUUNGAAAAGCUNGCUUCUCUUGAGAGCGGCGGACGGGUGAGUAAUGCCUAGGAAUCUGCCUGGUAGUGGGGGAUAACGUUCGGAAACGGACGCUAAUACCGCAUACGUCCUACGGGAGAAAGCAGGGGACCUUCGGGCCUUGCGCUAUCAGAUGUGCCUAGGUCGGAUUAGCUAGUUGGUGAGGUAAUGGCUCACCAAGGCGACGAUCCGUAACUGGUCUGAGAGGAUGAUCAGUCACACUGGAACUGAGACACGGUCCAGACUCCUACGGGAGGCAGCAGUGGGGAAUAUUGGACAAUGGGCGAAAGCCUGAUCCAGCCAUGCCGCGUGUGUGAAGAAGGUCUUCGGAUUGUAAAGCACUUUAAGUUGGGAGGAAGAGCAGUUACCUAAUACGUGAUUGUUUUGACGUUACCGACAGAAUAAGCACCGGCUAACUCUGUGCCAGCAGCCGCGGUAAUACAGAGGGUGCAAGCGUUAAUCGGAAUUACUGGGCGUAAAGCGCGCGUAGGUGGUUAGUUAANUUGGAUGUGAAAUCCCCGGGCUCAACCUGGGAACUGCAUUCNAAACUGACUGACUAUAGUAUGGUANAGGGUGGUGGAAUUUCCUGUGUANCGGUGAAAUGCGUAGGUAUAGGAAGGAACACCANUGGCGAAGGCGACCCACCUGGACUUGAUACUGACACUGAGGUG